AACCGGUUUUUGUAUGACCGCGAAAUAAUUAAAACACAAAAAGAAUAACAACGACCCCUGCAGGAAAAAAAAUCAAUAUUUUAAAGAAACUCAGUUAAUCUCAUGUUGUUAUGGCCUAGUUUUAAACCCGGUCCAGUUUUAAAUCGUGUUACUUAUAAACCAAUCAAUUUCAGUUCAAAGUUGUUUUUUAAUAAUCUUGAUCUACCAAUGUCUCAAAUAUACUGUUAAAGUGUUUUUUUUUCAUGUUGGUAAAAAAUGGCUUGGUUUGACAGUAGCGUAGUUUAAUAAAUGACACUUUAAGUUUGCUUUAUGUCCACAUUAUUGUAUUUUAAUUUGUGUGAACGUACAGAGGUUAUACCGGAUCCCAUCAGGGGUAGGCGCUGUAGCCUAAGUCUUACAGAAGGUGACGCAGGUACGUCACAGAAAAUGUCGGCAGUAAUGAGUAUGCGGUCGAUAGCGUCACUGAAAAAAAGUUUGUAAGAGGUGUUUCCUCACCUCUGGUCUCCUGGUGUUUCGCCUGAAGCUCUGCAGGACGACUCAUCCAACUCCUGAGUGACACCCACACCACUGCACUGGUCCAGAACCAGGGUCACCGUCUGGACAAACAGGAAGAACCACAAGAUCAGAAGGACUCACUGGACAGUCGCACGGACGCAGCGUUCUGCAGGAUGUUCUGACGCAGCUCCAUCACCUCCACGCGGGCGGUGGAGAUGACGUCAGGCCAGGUGUGGUCAGACACCAGCACCUGCAGGUGGUACGACCCAGGGGGAGUCCCUUCCCUGAUGCUGAGCUGACCCGAGGUCUGGUCCAGACUGAAGGCCCUGAGAGGAGGAGGCAGGAGGAGGAGGAAGUUGCUGUCCUCGUUUCCUCCUGUGAUGGCGUAGGAGACGGCGUCUCCAUCGGGGUCGUUGGCGUGGACGAUGGCGACCAGGGUGUCCGGUCCUGCGUCUUCACUGAGGAACGUCUUGUACCUGAGAGACAGGGAGAGUAACCUACACGCUCUGGGAAAAGAUUGGUGCUUCGUCGUUCACAUUGGAGACCCUGAUGCGUACGGAGGCGGAGCCUGUACGAGGAGGCGUCCCCGCGUCCACGGCCACUACCACAAACUCGUAGAUGUGAUUGGACCGUUCGUAGUCGAGGCCGCGGGCCGAAUUGACGACCCCCCCUGACGUGAUGUCAAAGGCUCCGUCUCCACCGUGGAUGAAUGUGUAAAACCUUGCAGCAGCGACGUUCCUGCUCGGACGUUCUCAGGAACAUUGUCUCUGCUGUAGAUGGACUGCAGGAACUCUGGAGUGCAGUCGUUCUCAUCUGUUACAUCAACCACCACCUGCAGGGGGCCCCCUCACCGUUAACCCAACUCAUAAAAUCCUGAACCUGAUCUUGUUUAUAUGGAGAUGAAGCUCUUUUACACCAAAGUCCAGAGAAAAAAAAAUCUGUCAUUUUAUAUCAAUGGGACAAAUGUGGAACACAGGUUGAGAUGCUGCUGCCUCUUGUGGUCAGUUUGUAUAACACCAGAGUAAAAGUUAAAUAGAAUUUAUAAACUUUGUCACUGGAGCAGCAGUGCUAUGAGGCAAAAUCAUUGUUUUUUUCUAUGGACUUUUCUAUGGUCUGGAAGAGAUGUUAUCUCGAAAAUUAUGUCAUUUUUGUUUCUGGAAUUUACCCAUGAUUCUCUGUGUGUGUGUGUGUGUGUUUGUGUGCACUGACCUCAGUCACACUGCUCAGGCCAGUAUCCGGCUCCGACGCUCUGACCUGCAGGACGUAGACGUUGUGUCCGCUCUCAUAGUCCACAGUGUGGGUAAGUCUGAGAGCGCCGCCCUGCUGGUCAACGCUGAACACGUUCCCUGGAUUGACCAGCAGCAGAUAAGAGAGAGACUUCAUCUGGAAGCUGACAGCCUGGACCACUGCCACACUGUGUCAAUGACAUCGUCAACUGCAGUGACUCACAUUUGGCCAGCAGGGGUGUUCUCAGGCACCUUCAGCCUGUAGGUGGUGUUGGUGAACUGCGGCGAUCGGUACCCGG
Cynoglossus semilaevis (tongue sole) is the source of this 2020-nucleotide long non-coding RNA. RefSeq lists it as uncharacterized. NCBI's taxonomy places the organism in Eukaryota, Metazoa, Chordata, Actinopteri, Pleuronectiformes, Cynoglossidae. The transcript is spliced from 8 exons. The record is from RefSeq and is a predicted model, not a curated record.